RNAcentral lists this non-coding RNA (257 nucleotides) under Oryctolagus cuniculus (rabbit). Its description in RNAcentral is "Voltage-gated potassium-channel Kv1.4 IRES". It matches the Rfam family "Voltage-gated potassium-channel Kv1.4 IRES". From Rfam's summary of the family: This family represents the Kv1.4 voltage-gated potassium-channel internal ribosome entry site (IRES). This region has been shown to mediate internal ribosome entry in cells derived from brain, heart, and skeletal muscle, tissues known to express Kv1.4 mRNA species. Lineage: Eukaryota; Metazoa; Chordata; Mammalia; Lagomorpha; Leporidae. The record is from Rfam by way of RNAcentral.
UGGGCUUGAGUGUGAUAGGCUGUUUAUCUAGACCAGCCAAGCUCUGGAGAGCAAUGUUGAAUCCCUGGGAAGAGCGAGCAUGGAGUGUGCUGAUUUAAAAACAGAAAAUGCAAAGUUGGACUGAAAAUAUCCUUAGUCUUCCAAGCAAUCUGCUUAAGGGUUCCAAACUUACCUUAAUUUGGUGAGAAAAGAAGCUGCCCUAUUUUUCUUUCUUCUUCUACAACUGGAACCAGCCAUUUCCAAAAACUACCGCCAUG